RNAcentral lists this ribosomal RNA (492 nucleotides) under uncultured bacterium. RNAcentral describes it as "partial 16S ribosomal RNA". It matches the Rfam family "Bacterial small subunit ribosomal RNA", at positions 29 to 507 of the family's 1533-position model. The record is from RNAcentral.
AGUGAACGCUGGCGGUAGGCCUAACACAUGCCAGUCGAACGACAGCACAGUAAGAGCUUGCUCUUACGGGUGGCGAGUGGCGGACGGGUGAGGAAUACAUCGGAAUCUACUUUUUCGUGGGGGAUAACGUAGGGAAACUUACGCUAAUACCGCAUACGACCUACGGGUGAAAGCAGGGGAUCUUCGGACCUUGCGCGAUUGAAUGAGCCGAUGUCGGAUUAGCUAGUUGGCGGGGUAAAGGCCCACCAAGGCGACGAUCCGUAGCUGGUCUGAGAGGAUGAUCAGCCACACUGGAACUGAGACACGGUCCAGACUCCUACGGGAGGCAGCAGUGGGGAACAUUGGACAAUGGGCGCAAGCCUGAUCCAGCCAUACCGCGUGGGUGAAGAAGGCCUUCGGGUUGUAAAGCCCUUUUGUUGGGAAAGAAAAGCAGCAGGUUAAUACCCCGCUGUUCUGACGGUACCCAAAGAAUAAGCACCGGCUAACUUCGUG